RNAcentral lists this ribosomal RNA (248 nucleotides) under uncultured Actinomycetales bacterium. RNAcentral's name for it is "partial 16S ribosomal RNA". It matches the Rfam family "Bacterial small subunit ribosomal RNA", at positions 796 to 1041 of the family's 1533-position model. Lineage: Bacteria; Bacillati; Actinomycetota; Actinomycetes; Actinomycetales. The record is from RNAcentral.
CAUGCUGUAAACGUUGGGCACUAGGUGUGGGGAUCGUUGUGGUUUCUGCGCCGUAGCUAACGCAUUAAGUGUCCCGCCUGGGGAGUACGGCCGCAAGGCUAAAACUCAAAGGAAUUGACGGGGACCCGCACAAGCGGCGGAGCAUGCGGAUUAAUUCGAUGCAACGCGAAGAACCUUACCAGGGCUUGACAUACUUUUGCAGGGUCUAGAGAUAGACCUGUUCUCUUUUGAGACGAAAGUACAGGUGG